GACGAACGCUGGCGGCGCGCUUAACACAUGCAAGUCGAGCGAUGAAAUCUUGACAGAACCCUUCGGGGUGAAGAUAAGAUGGAUUAGCGGCGGACGGGUGAGUAACACGUGAGUAACCUGCCUUAGACAUUGGGAUAGCCUCGGGAAACCGGGAUUAAUACCAAAUGAAAUCACAUAUGCACAUGCAUAAAUGAUCAAAGCUCCGGCGGUCUAAGAUGGACUCGCGUCCCAUUAGCUAGUUGGUGAGGUAACGGCCCACCAAGGCGACGAUGGGUAGCCGGCCUGAGAGGGUGAACGGCCACAUUGGAACUGAGAAACGGUCCAAACUCCUACGGGAGGCAGCAGUAGGGAAUCUUCCGCAAUGGGCGAAAGCCUGACGGAGCAACGCCGCGUGAGUGAAGAAGGAUUUCGGUUCGUAAAGCUCUGUUGUUAGGGAAGAAUGGAUAUGUAGUAACUAUACAUGUAAGAGACGGUACCUAACCAGAAAGCCACGGCUAACUACGUGCCAGCAGCCGCGGUAAUACGUAGGUGGCAAGCGUUGUCCGGAAUUAUUGGGCGUAAAGCGCGCGCAGGUGGUUUAAUAAGUCUGAUGUGAAAGCCCACGGCUCAACCGUGGAGGGUCAUUGGAAACUGUUAAACUUGAGUGCAGGAGAGAAAAGUGGAAUUCCUAGUGUAGCGGUGAAAUGCGUAGAGAUUAGGAGGAACACCAGUGGCGAAGGCGGCUUUUUGGCCUGUAACUGACACUGAGGCGCGAAAGCGUGGGGAGCAAACAGG
This 774-nucleotide ribosomal RNA is filed under the name uncultured Tannerella sp. RNAcentral describes it as "bacterial SSU rRNA". It matches the Rfam family "Bacterial small subunit ribosomal RNA", at positions 28 to 776 of the family's 1533-position model. The record is from RNAcentral. Lineage: Bacteria; Pseudomonadati; Bacteroidota; Bacteroidia; Bacteroidales; Tannerellaceae.